GGGUCAGUAGGUUGGUCGUGCCACCGGUACGUACCGUCUCACUGAUUCCUCCUUCCUGAAGAACCGUAAUGCCAUUAAUUUGGUGUUGCGGGGAAACAGGACUGUUACCUUGAAAAAAUUAGAGUGUUUAAAGCAAGCUAACGCUUGAAUACAUUAGCAUGGAAUAAUGAAAUAGGACGAUCGAUCCUAUUUUGUUGGUUUCUAGGAUUGACGUA
RNAcentral lists this ribosomal RNA (215 nucleotides) under Glomeromycotina sp. RNAcentral's name for it is "partial small subunit ribosomal RNA". The stretch from base 39 to 215 matches the Rfam family "Eukaryotic small subunit ribosomal RNA", at positions 686 to 864 of the family's 1831-position model. Lineage: Eukaryota; Fungi; Glomeromycota. The record is from RNAcentral.